CCUACGGGUGGCUGCAGUGGGGAAUAUUGCACAAUGGGGGCAACCCUGAUGCAGCGACGCCGCGUGAGUGAAGAAGGAUUUCGGUACGUAAAGCUCUAUCAGCAGGGAAGAAAAUGACGGUGCCUGACUAAGAAGCCACGGCCAAAUACGGGCCAGCAGCCGCGGGAAUACGAAGGGGGCAAGCGUUAGCCGGAUUUAUUGGGGGGAAAGGGAGCGUAGACGGGAGGGCAAGUCUGGAGUGAAAUCCCAUGGCUUAACCGUGGAAGUGCAUUGGAAACUGUGCGGCUUGAGUGCAGGAGAGGUAAGCGGAACUCGUAGUGUAGCGGUGAAAUGCGUAGAUAUUAGGAAGAACACCAGUGGCGAAGGCGGCUUACUGGACUGUAACUGACGUUGAGGCUCGAAAGCGUGGGUAGCAAACAGGAUUAGAUACCCUGGUAGUC
This 440-nucleotide ribosomal RNA is filed under the name uncultured bacterium. RNAcentral's name for it is "partial 16S ribosomal RNA". It matches the Rfam family "Bacterial small subunit ribosomal RNA", at positions 338 to 795 of the family's 1533-position model. The record is from RNAcentral.